Molecule: ribosomal RNA, 244 nt
Filed under: uncultured bacterium
Lineage: Bacteria
Description: partial 16S ribosomal RNA
Rfam family: Bacterial small subunit ribosomal RNA
Source: RNAcentral
CGUGAGUGGCGGACGGGUGAGUAACGCGUGGGUAACCUGCCUCAUACAGGGGGAUAACAGUUAGAAAUGACUGCUAAUACCGCAUAAGACCACAGCACCGCAUGGUGCAGGGGUAAAAACUCCGGUGGUAUGAGAUGGACCCGCGUCUGAUUAGGUAGUUGGUGGGGUAACGGCCUACCAAGCCGACGACCAGUAGCCGACCUGAGAGGGUGACCGGCCACAUUGGGACUGAGACACGGCCCAA